AUGUAACAGCAGAUUUUUUUGGAUAACUCGGUUAAUCAUCCUAACCAAGAUCGAUUGUUGGAUUACAAAAAUUAUUUUUAUUCUGAGUUUUAUUCUUAGAUUCUAUCUGAAGCGUUUGCGAUCGUUGUGGAAAUCCCAUUCUCGCUACGGGAAUUAUUUUGUCCGAAAGAAAAAGAAAUACCAAAAUUUUAGAAUUUACGCUCUAUUCAUUCAACAUUUCCCUUUUUAGAAGACAAAUUUUUGCAUUUGGAUUAUCUAUCACAUAUAUAA
This 270-nucleotide ribosomal RNA is filed under the name Triticum aestivum (bread wheat). RNAcentral's name for it is "partial small subunit ribosomal RNA". Lineage: Eukaryota; Viridiplantae; Streptophyta; Magnoliopsida; Poales; Poaceae. The record is from RNAcentral.